UGGGGAAUUUUGGACAAUGGGCGAAAGCCUGAUCCAGCCAUGCCGCGUGAGUGAAGAAGGCCUUCGGGUUGUAAAGCUCUUUUAGUCGGAAAGAAAGAGUUGCAAUGAAUAAUUGUGAUUUAUGACGGUACCGACAGAAAAAGCACCGGCUAACUACGUGCCAGCAGCCGCGGUAAUACGUAGGGUGCGAGCGUUAAUCGGAAUUACUGGGCGUAAAGGGUGCGCAGGCGGUCUUGCAAGUCAGAUGUGAAAGCCCCGGGCUUAACCUGGGAAUUGCGUCUGAAACUACAAGACUAGAGUGCAGCAGAGGGGAGUGGAAUUCCAUGUGUAGCAGUGAAAUGCGUAGAGAUGUGGAAGAACACCGAUGGCGAAGGCAGCUCCCUGGGUUGACACUGACGCUCAUGCACGAAAGCGUGGGGAGCAAACA
Molecule: ribosomal RNA, 427 nt
Filed under: uncultured bacterium
Lineage: Bacteria
Description: bacterial SSU rRNA
Rfam family: Bacterial small subunit ribosomal RNA
Source: RNAcentral